RNAcentral lists this ribosomal RNA (429 nucleotides) under bacterium. RNAcentral's name for it is "partial 16S ribosomal RNA". It matches the Rfam family "Bacterial small subunit ribosomal RNA", at positions 355 to 776 of the family's 1533-position model. The record is from RNAcentral.
UAGGGAAUCUUCCACAAUGGACGCAAGUCUGAUGGAGCAACGCCGCGUGAGUGAAGAAGGUUUUCGGAUCGUAAAGCUCUGUUGUUGGUGAAGAAGGAUAGAGGCAGUAACUGGUCUUUAUUUGACGGUAAUCAACCAGAAAGUCACGGCUAACUACGUGCCAGCAGCCGCGGUAAUACGUAGGUGGCAAGCGUUGUCCGGAUUUAUUGGGCGUAAAGCGAGCGCAGGCGGAAUGAUAAGUCUGAUGUGAAAGCCCACGGCUCAACCGUGGAACUGCAUCGGAAACUGUCAUUCUUGAGUGCAGAAGAGGAGAGUGGAAUUCCAUGUGUAGCGGUGGAAUGCGUAGAUAUAUGGAAGAACACCAGUGGCGGAGGCGGCUCUCUGGUCUGCAACUGACGCUGAGGCUCGAAAGCAUGGGUAGCGAACAGG